Molecule: RNA transcript, 1753 nt
Organism: Abrus precatorius (Indian licorice)
Lineage: Eukaryota; Viridiplantae; Streptophyta; Magnoliopsida; Fabales; Fabaceae
Gene name: COBW domain-containing protein 1
Exons: 10
Source: RefSeq, a predicted model, not a curated record
CAUCUUCCACGAUAAACCCUUGCUACCAUAACCAUGGCUUCUUUCACCUUCUCUGCUGAGGUGGCAUCUAACUUCUUCAACCUUGCUUAUCGCAACCCUAAACCUGUCACUUCAAUCCAAACUGCUUUUCUCCCUCUUCUACGCACCACAAGAAGAAGAACAAUACAUUCCCGCUCUUUCUCCACAACAUUCGCUCUCAGACCCGCUCGCCGCUUCACCGUCGCUGCAACCACCAGUGCGCCGCCUCAAUCCGAGGGCUCCGAUGUCUCCACCGUCAUCCCGCCCGAUAAUCGCAUUCCGGCAACCAUCAUCACCGGCUUUCUCGGUUCCGGCAAGACGACGCUGCUGAACCAUAUUCUGACCGCGGAACAUGGGAAGCGAAUUGCUGUUAUUGAGAACGAGUUUGGUGAAAUCGACAUAGAUGGUUCUUUGGUGGCGGCCAAAACUGCUGGCGCUGAAGAUAUUAUGAUGUUGAAUAAUGGGUGUCUUUGCUGUACUGUGAGGGGGGAUCUUGUUAGAAUGAUUUCGGAAUUAGUGACUAAGAAGAAAGGAAAAUUUGACCAUAUUGUCAUAGAGACUACAGGUUUGGCAAAUCCGGCACCAAUAAUCCAGACCUUUUAUGCAGAGGAUAGGAUUUUCAACGACGUCAAGUUGGAUGGCGUUGUCACCUUGGUUGAUGCCAAGCAUGCUGGUUUUCAUCUCGAUGAGGUUAAGCCAAAAGGUGUGGUCAAUGAGGCAGUGGAACAGAUUGCGUAUGCGGACCGUAUAAUUGUCAAUAAGACCGACCUUGUUGGUGAAUCAGACAUUGCUUCUUUAGUCCAGCGGAUAAGGAAAAUAAACAGCUUGGCCCACUUAAAGCGGACAGAAUAUGGAAAAGUUAACUUGGAUUAUGUUCUUGGCAUUGGGGGCUUUGAUUUGGAGAGGAUUGAGAAUGCCAUUAGUGAUGAAGGUGCUAAAGAAGAUCACGGGCAUAGCCAUGAUCAUGACCAUGAGCAUGAUCAUCACCACGAUGAUUCACAUGACCACAAGCAUGAACACCAUGAUCACCACUCUCAUGAUCAUACUCAUGAUCCGGGUGUUUCAUCUGUCAGCAUUGUUUGUGAAGGAAGCUUAGACCUUGAGAAGGCUAACAUCUGGCUCGGUACCUUGUUACUGGAUCGUAGUGAAGACAUUUACAGGAUGAAGGGUCUUCUGUCUGUCCAUGGAAUGAAUGAGAGAUUUGUCUUUCAGGUAAAUUUAAAUUUCUCUAGCAUAAUAGGAUUGCCGUACGGAUCUUGAAUAAAUUUCUCAAAAGUUUUCACUUCUAUGCUAUUGUUGUUAUCAUCAAUCAAUCAGGGAGUCCAUGACAUAUUUCAAGGUUCACCUGAAAGGUUGUGGGGGCCAGAUGAACAAAGGAUAAAUAAAAUUGUUUUCAUAGGGAAAAACUUGGAUGCUAAGGAAUUGGAGAAGGGAUUCAAGGCCUGUUUACUGUGAAACCAGAAGUUCUAUACAAGGAGCUCUAAUCCUCUCUGUUUUGGCAAAUGAUGCCCAUUGAAGAUGAGUGUCUGUAUACCAUGUAGAAUUGUGGACUAGCUUACCAUAUACAUAGUGAAAAGUGUUCCAUUCCUCGAACAUCUUCGUUCUCUAAUGGGGCUUAAAUCUCACCCCGAAAUUGCGAUGACAUUAGUUUCAAGUGUUGUUUUAAGGGCUUAAACUUCGUUGAGAAAAUUCAAUCGAAAACAUUAUUUUGUACAAAUGAAAGGACCUUAUACUU